GCUUGCAGCAGGAAGCCGGUGUGAAUCCGGCGCGGUCGCGCCACUGUGAUCGGGCCUUGCCCGUCAGCCAGACCUUGCUGCACGC
This 85-nucleotide non-coding RNA is filed under the name Pseudomonas sp. RNAcentral also lists the same sequence under 1 other name. Lineage: Bacteria; Pseudomonadati; Pseudomonadota; Gammaproteobacteria; Pseudomonadales; Pseudomonadaceae. The record is from RNAcentral.